UGACUGGGGUGAAGUCGUAACAAGGUAGCCGUAGGGGAACCUGCGGCUGGAUCACCUCCUUAAU
This 64-nucleotide ribosomal RNA is filed under the name Pseudomonas sp. MWU13-2860. RNAcentral's name for it is "partial 16S ribosomal RNA". It matches the Rfam family "Bacterial small subunit ribosomal RNA", at positions 1472 to 1533 of the family's 1533-position model. Lineage: Bacteria; Pseudomonadati; Pseudomonadota; Gammaproteobacteria; Pseudomonadales; Pseudomonadaceae. The record is from RNAcentral.